GCCUGCUUCAGGGACGGAGCCAUUACA
Molecule: non-coding RNA, 27 nt
Filed under: Homo sapiens (human)
Lineage: Eukaryota; Metazoa; Chordata; Mammalia; Primates; Hominidae
Source: RNAcentral